Molecule: unclassified non-coding RNA, 253 nt
Filed under: uncultured Bacteroidota bacterium
Lineage: Bacteria; Pseudomonadati; Bacteroidota
Description: uncultured Bacteroidetes bacterium contains 16S-23S intergenic spacer region
Rfam family: Bacterial small subunit ribosomal RNA
Source: RNAcentral
UACGGAGAAGGCAAGCGUUACCCGGAAUUAUUGGGUGUAAAGGGUGUGCAGGCGUCUCGGGAAGUUUUCGGUGAAAGCCUCCAGCUUAACUGGAGAAGGGCCGGAAAAACUCCCGGGAUUGAGUUCGGAAGAGGUUGGUGGAAUUCGUGGUGUAGCGGUGAAAUGCAUAGAUAUCACGAAGAACACCGGUGGCGAAGGCGGCCAACUGGUCCGAAACUGACGCUGAGGCACGAGAGCGUGGGGAGCGAACAGG